GAUGAACGCUGGCGGCGUGCCUAACACAUGCAAGUCGAACGAGAACCCAUUCUUCGGAUUGGGGGACAGUGGCGAACGGGUGAGUAACACGUUGGUGACCUGCCCCGAAGCGGGGGACAACCACGGGAAACUGUGGCUAGUACCGCAUAUGCUUCAGAGGGUUAGAGGCCUCUGAAGUAAAGCUCCGGCGCUUCGGGAGGGGCCUGCGGCCUAUCAGCUAGUUGGUGGGGUAAUGGCCUACCAAGGCUAAGACGGGUAGGGGGCGUGAGAGCGUGACCCCCCACAAUGGAACUGAGACACGGUCCAUACUCCUACGGGAGGCAGCAGUGAGGAAUAUUGCCCAAUGGGCGAAAGCCUGAGGCAGCAACGCCGCGUGGGUGACGAAGGCCUUCGGGUUGUAAAACCCUUUUCUGGGGGACGAGAAAGGACGGUACCUCAGGAAUAAGUCCCGGCUAACUACGUGCCAGCAGCCGCGGUAAAACGUAGGGGGCAAGCGUUAUCCGGAUUUAUUGGGCGUAAAGCGCGUGUAGGCGGUCUGGUAGGUUGGACGUGAAAGCUCUCGGCUCAACUGGGAGACGUCGUUCAAUACCGCCAGACUCGAGGGCGGAAGAGGGGAGUGGAAUUCCCGGUGUAGUGGUGGAAUGCGUAGAUAUCGGGAGGAACACCAGUGGCGAAGGCGGCUCCCUGGUCCGCACCUGACGCUAAGACGCGAAAGCGUGGGGAGCGAACGGGAUUAGAUACCCCGGUAGUCCACGCUGUAAACGAUGGAUGCUAGGUGUAGGUGGUAUUGACCCCAUCUGUGCCGUAGCUAACGCGUUAAGCAUCCCGCCUGGGGACUACGACCGCAAGGUUA
Molecule: ribosomal RNA, 853 nt
Filed under: uncultured Chloroflexota bacterium
Lineage: Bacteria; Bacillati; Chloroflexota
Description: bacterial SSU rRNA
Rfam family: Bacterial small subunit ribosomal RNA
Source: RNAcentral